UCCAGACUCCUACGGGAGGCAGCAGUGAGGAAUAUUGGUCAAUGGACGAGAGUCUGAACCAGCCAAGUAGCGUGAAGGAUGACUGCCCUAUGGGUUGUAAACUUCUUUUGUCGGGGAACAAAGGCGCCCACGGGUGGGCGGAUGAGUGUACCCGAAGAAAAAGCAUCGGCUAACUCCGUGCCAGCAGCCGCGGUAAUACGGAGGAUGCGAGCGUUAUCCGGAUUUAUUGGGUUUAAAGGGUGCGUAGGCGGACAGUCAAGUCAGCGGUAAAAAUGCGGUGCUCAACGCCGUACAGCCGUUGAAACUGGCAGUCUUGAGUGGGCGAGAAGUAUGCGGAAUGCGUGGUGUAGCGGUGAAAUGCAUAGAUAUCACGCAGAACUCCGAUUGCGAAGGCAGCAUACCGGCGCCCGACUGACGCUGAGGCACGAAAGCGUGGGUAUCGAACAGGAUUAGAUACCCUCGUA
This 464-nucleotide ribosomal RNA is filed under the name uncultured bacterium. RNAcentral's name for it is "bacterial SSU rRNA". It matches the Rfam family "Bacterial small subunit ribosomal RNA", at positions 330 to 792 of the family's 1533-position model. The record is from RNAcentral.